Molecule: unclassified non-coding RNA, 212 nt
Filed under: Hevea brasiliensis (rubber tree)
Lineage: Eukaryota; Viridiplantae; Streptophyta; Magnoliopsida; Malpighiales; Euphorbiaceae
Source: RNAcentral
UGAUUCUUUUGGAAAAAGCUGUCUUGAGAUGAAAAGGAUUCAUCAUUUAUACUGAGAGGCCCAUUCACCUCGUCAGUGCACUGAGGACAAAAUGAGAGAUUAUUUUCUUCAACUACGCCAUCUAAAAAUUUCAACUUUCCCUGAGUUUCUUUGCGUUUGAAGUCAUCAAGAUCACUGAAAAUUAAUUCUUCUUCUGAACUCUCAGAUACUGG